This 491-nucleotide long non-coding RNA is filed under the name Mytilus galloprovincialis (Mediterranean mussel). The record is from RNAcentral. Lineage: Eukaryota; Metazoa; Mollusca; Bivalvia; Mytilida; Mytilidae.
GGGGUAAAAUGCAGUUUUUGGCUUGUAACUCAAAAACCAAAGAAUUUAGAGCAAAUCUGACAUGGGGGUAAAAUUGUUUAUCAGGUCAAGAUCUAUCUGUCCUGAAAUUUUCAGAUGAAUCGGACAACCCGUUGUUGGGUUGCUGCCCCUGAAUCGGUAAUUUUAAGGGAAUUUUGCUGUUUUGGGUUAUUAUCUUGAAUAUUAUUAUAGAUAGAGAUAAACUGUGCACAGUAAUAAUGUUCAGCAAAGUAAGAUUUGCAAAUAAGUCAACAUGACCGAAAUGGUCAAUUGACCCCCUCAGGAGUUAUUGUCCUUUAUAGUCAAUUUUUAACAAUUUUCAUAAAAUUUGUAAAUUUUUAUUAACAUUUUCCACUGAAACUACUAAGCCAAGUUUAUUAUAGAUAGAGAUAAUUGUAAGCAGCAAGACUGUUUAGUAAAGUAAGAUGUACAAACACAUCACCAUCACCAAAACACAAUUUUGUCACGAAUCC